Molecule: long non-coding RNA, 452 nt
Filed under: Dromaius novaehollandiae (emu)
Lineage: Eukaryota; Metazoa; Chordata; Aves; Casuariiformes; Dromaiidae
Description: lncRNA (ENSDNVG00000008274.1)
Source: RNAcentral
GGGGAGCGGCGCUGCUGCCGUGAGCUCCGCAGUGCGGGGGCCGGGGAGCCGGCGGGCAGCACUGCCUGGGUAGCGGGACCCUCUGGGGCCCCGGGAGYAGCGGGUGGGGGGCCGGGGUCAUCCCCCCCGACCCCAACUUCCAGCUGCGGAGGACUCUGACCCGGCACACGCCCGAGCUCCAAAGUACCCCGGCACCCUCGGGAAGCAAAUCCUCGGGAGGAGGGAUCGAUCCCUGGCUGCCCCACGAAAGAGUCUCGUUUUCCCCAUUGGUUUUGUCACAGCAUCUCCCUGAACAGAACCCGGGGGCAUCUCUUCCGCAGGAAUCUGGCUUCUCGCUGCCACCUGUUCUGACACAGUCGGCACCGAGCCUCCUCCCCGCGUACUGUGGCUCUCCUCGUGGGCAGCCCCGGCUCGGUAACGGGCACGAAGAGGGUGUUCUGCUUGGCAGAGUG